UAGGGAAUCUUCCACAAUGGGCGAAAGCCUGAUGGAGCAACGCCGCGUGGGUGAAGAAGGUCUUCGGAUCGUAAAACCCGGUUGUUAGAGAAGAAAGUGCGUGAGAGUAACUAUUCACGUUUCGACGGUAUCCAACCAGAAACACACGGCUAACUACUGUCUAGAAGCCGCGGUAAUACGUAGGUGGCAAGCGUUAUCCGGAUUUAUUGGGCGUAAAGGGAACGCAGGCGGUCUUUUAAGUCUGAUGUGAAAGCCUUCGGCUUAACCGGAGUAGUGCAUUGGAAACUGGGAGACUUGAGUGCAGAAGAGGAGAGUGGAACUCCAUGUGUAGCGGUGAAAUGCGUAGAUAUAUGGAAGAACACCAGUGGCGAAAGCGGCUCUCUGGUCUGUAACUGACGCUGAGGUUCGAAAGCGUGGGUAGCAAACAGG
RNAcentral lists this ribosomal RNA (429 nucleotides) under uncultured bacterium. RNAcentral's name for it is "bacterial SSU rRNA". It matches the Rfam family "Bacterial small subunit ribosomal RNA", at positions 355 to 776 of the family's 1533-position model. The record is from RNAcentral.